GGUUGACCUCGGAUCAGGUAGGGAUACCCGCUGAACUUAAGCAUAUCAAUAAGCG
RNAcentral lists this ribosomal RNA (55 nucleotides) under Aspergillus flavus. RNAcentral's name for it is "partial 28S ribosomal RNA". Lineage: Eukaryota; Fungi; Ascomycota; Eurotiomycetes; Eurotiales; Aspergillaceae. RNAcentral also lists the same sequence under 33 other names. The record is from RNAcentral.